Long non-coding RNA from Equus asinus (donkey), 2183 nucleotides. NCBI's taxonomy places the organism in Eukaryota, Metazoa, Chordata, Mammalia, Perissodactyla, Equidae. The record is from Ensembl.
GAGAAGUUCAUUUCUCUGAUAUAAGUAUUUGUAAUAUGUUUUGUGAACACUAGUAUUAAUAAAACCACAUAUGUAGUAAGCCUUUUUAUUUAUUAAUUUAAUUUUUUAAAUUAAUUUAUUUUUUGAGGAAGAUCAGCCCUGAGCUAACAUCUGCUGCCAAUCCUCCUCUUUUUGCUGAGGAAGACUGGCCCUGAGCUAACAUCCGUGCCCAUCAUCCUCUACUCCACAUAUGGGACACCUACCACAGCAUGGCUUUCCAAGUGAUGCCAUGUCCACACCCAGGUCCAAACCCGUGAACCCCGGGCCUCCCGAAGCGAAACAUGAGCACUUAACCGCUACGCCACCGGGCCUGCCCUAUAGAUGCCUAACACAGCAUGGCUUGCCACACAGUGCCAUGUCCACACCGGGGAUCUGAACAGGCGAACCCUGGGACACUGAAGCGGAAAACGUGAACUUAACUGUUGUGCCACCGGACAGGCCCCCAAGAUCUUAUUCUUAAAAUGCAAAAUUGUUCAAAGGCUUAUUUCAGCUGACCAACGUAAAGAAGAUUCAUUGAAGGUGUUUCAGGUGGAGAUUCACUGUCUAUUCUUUCCUAAAGAAUCCUCCAUUUAAGAUCUGCUCUUUGCACCGGGGAGAUCAAUAAGGGCUGGAGACAUGGGCAGAUGCUUACUUGAGUUCCCAUAAAAAGAGAAGAUAAAUGGUUAGCAUGUAGGUGACCUAUGGCUUCUCCAGUGCAAUCACGUGGAGGUGCCAAUGCGUCUUUGAAAGAUUUCAUUUUUUUCUGCUGUUAUAAGAAAUACUGGGGGGCAGUAAUUUCUGCUAAGAUUAAAUGUCCCAGUCUAUGCCUCAGAAAUACAAAGUUGUUUAUGAUUCCAUGUCUGAUUACAAUUUACCAGUGGAAUUUUUCCCAUUUAUUUCUUUUCCUGCAAUCCUCCCAUUUUUCUAUAAUCUUUGGUCCAUCCGCUUAAGUGAGUAGGAACUUAAUAAAGUACUCAGGACAAAUAUUUUCAACAUAUUCCCAGGUUUCUGCUUUCCUGAGAACUGCCUAUGUUAAUGUUUGAUCUACAGACAGUCUUUUUUUCACCCAGCCCUUGAUGGGGAACCAUCAGUACCUUAUUUCCAAAAAAUACUGUAUUAAAGACUCAUGUUUCUGCUUUUGUUACUCAAUACAUGUUUGUUUGACUGGAGAGGGAGGGAUGGCCAAAUACAGAUUUACUUGAUGUUCUGGAAACAUGUAGCUUUUAGGCUAAGUGGGAGGUCACCUGGUGCAGGAGUCCCGCCUCUGCCUCACACCCUUUCAGUCCCCACUCCUUGAGGAUAGUGUCAUCUUUCCACAGGCACAGCACCAGCCCCAGCUAAACUUCUCUGUAAGGAUGGCAUGUGUCUGCUCCUCUUCCCUUGGGAUCAGGGAAGAUAAGUGAAGAAACUGAGUGUCCUUGAUCUCGAGAUACUGUCAGACUAUCAUUGUAUACCUGAAAAAGGAAAUUUAAGAGGACCUCAUCCAGGAUAUCACAUUACAUUUAGUCAUCAAGUGUCUCUAAGACUCGUCUUGGUUACAGCAGUUUCCUCAGACUUUCCUUCCUUUUGCUGACCUUGAUAGUUUUGAGGAGUAUGGGUAAGUAUUUUGAAGGAUGCCCCUCUAUUAGAAUUUGUGUGAACUUUUUCUUAUGAUUAGACUGUGUUAUGGAUUUUGGGGAGGAAGACUACAGAGGUAAAGUGCCAUUCUUAUCACAUCAUUUCAAGGGUACCCACUAUCAACAUAAUUUAUCGCUAUUGAUGUUGACCUUGAUCACCUGGCUAAGGUGACGUUUGUCAGAUUUCUUCACUGUGAAGUUCCUAUGUUUUCUUCUUUCUAAACUGUACUCUUUGGAAGGAAGACCCUAUGCACAGCCCAUGCUUAAGGAGAGGGGAGUGAUGCUCGAUCUUCUCGAGGGAGGAAUGUCUAUAUAAAUUAUUUAGAAUUAUUCUGCAUGGGAGAUUUACCUAUUGUCUCCCACUUAUUUGUUUAUAUCCAUAUGGACUCAUGGAUAUUUACCUUAUAUCUUGGGUUACUAAGUAGAUUUUUAUUAAGUUGAAUUGUUGAGUUAGUCUCCCCAUUUAUUAUCCUCUCUAGACUUGGAAGGAGUUUAUUCAAAUUCUAAAACCAGUCCUAACUCACAGAAAAAAAAGUGCUAAUAUUUCAC